Molecule: ribosomal RNA, 1130 nt
Filed under: uncultured delta proteobacterium
Lineage: Bacteria; Deltaproteobacteria
Description: bacterial SSU rRNA
Rfam family: Bacterial small subunit ribosomal RNA
Source: RNAcentral
AGUCGAACGAGAAAAUCCUAGCUUGCUAGGGUGAGUAAAGUGGCGCACGGGUGAGUAACACGUGAGUAAUCUGCCCCUAAGUCGGGGAUAACUCCGCGAAAGCGGGGCUAAUACCCGAUAUGCUCACGACUACUGCGGUAGAUGUGAGAAAAGGUGGCCUCUGUCAUAAGCUAUCGCUUAAGGAUGAGCUCGCGUACCAUUAGCUAGUUGGUAGGGUAAUGGCCUACCAAGGCUACGAUGGUUAGCUGGCCUGAGAGGGUGGCCAGCCACACUGGAACUGAGACACGGUCCAGACUCCUACGGGAGGCAGCAGUGGGGAAUCUUGCGCAAUGGGGGAAACCCUGACGCAGCAACGCCGUGUGAGUGAUGAAGGCUUUCGGGUCGUAAAGCUCUGUCAGAUGGGAAGAAUUAGUUUGCUGAUAAUAUUGGCAAAUGAUGACGGUACCAUCGAAGGAAGCACCGGCUAACUCCGUGCCAGCAGCCGCGGUAAUACGGAGGGUGCAAGCGUUGUUCGGAAUUAUUGGGCGUAAAGCGCGUGUAGGCGGAUAGAUAAGUCAGGUGUGAAAUCCCUUGACUCAAUCAAGGAACUGCACUUGAAACUAUUUAUCUCGAGUACGAUAGGGGAGGGCGGAAUCCCAGUGUAGAGGUGAAAUUCAUAGAUAUUGGGAGGAACACCAGUGGCGAAGGCGACCCUCUGGAUCGAUACUGACGCUGAGACGCGAAAGCGUGGGUAGCAAACAGGAUUAGAUACCCUGGUAGUCCACGCUGUAAACGAUGUGCACUAGGUGUUGGAGGUGCUUAAUCCUUCAGUGCCGCAGCUAACGCAUUAAGUGCACCGCCUGGGGAUUACGGCCGCAAGGUUAAAACUCAAAGGAAUUGACGGGGGCCCGCACAAGCGGUGGAGUAUGUGGUUUAAUUCGACGCAACGCGAAAAACCUUACCUGGGCUUGACAUGCUGGGAUUAGUUCCAGGAAACUGGAGCGAUUACCUUCGGGCGUAACCAGCACAGGUGCUGCAUGGCUGUCGUCAGCUCGUGUCGUGAGAUGUUGGGUUAAGUCCCGCAACGAGCGCAACCCUUACCGUUAGUUGCCAUCAUUCAGUUGGGCACUCUAAUGGAACUGCCGGUGUCA